GCCAGCAGCAUACCACCCUGCAUCCCACUGCUGGCUUGCUUACAAACCUAAGCAGGGGUGGUUCUGGUCAGUCCCUGGAUAGGAGACCAGAUGCUGCUGGAA
This is a ribosomal RNA of Hucho hucho (huchen), 102 nucleotides long. The record is from Ensembl. NCBI's taxonomy places the organism in Eukaryota, Metazoa, Chordata, Actinopteri, Salmoniformes, Salmonidae.